RNAcentral lists this long non-coding RNA (339 nucleotides) under Papio anubis (olive baboon). Its description in RNAcentral is "lncRNA (ENSPANG00000047500.1)". The record is from RNAcentral. Lineage: Eukaryota; Metazoa; Chordata; Mammalia; Primates; Cercopithecidae.
GUUGAGGAUUCCAGCCAUAAAUACUCGGAGACGUCUAUGGACAAAUGCCUUCCUUCCUCCAAGUGACUGUGAAAUUUGGAGAGGAGAGUUCAGAAAAUGGGAGUGUUAAAAUAUAAACCACCCAGAGAUCCUCUCUGCACCACACCACCUUGUCUGCUGGGAAGUGGGGGAGGAGUGGCCUCAGUGAUUCAGGACUCUCCUUUCUGCCUCUUCAGAAUGUCUUUCAGCGAUAUGAAGUUAAAACCAGGUACCAUGAGGGCUCACCUGAUUUUUGGUUCUCAUGAAGGUGUUUUUUUUUUUUUUUUUUUUUUGGUGUGUAGAUAGUUGUUAAAUUGGUGU